CCGCCACUAGCUCAUCAGGAAAGAGAGUCACCCCUUUAAGUUGAGAGUGCGAGGUUCGAGUCUCCGGUGGCGGUCCA
Molecule: transfer RNA, 77 nt
Filed under: Escherichia coli
Lineage: Bacteria; Pseudomonadati; Pseudomonadota; Gammaproteobacteria; Enterobacterales; Enterobacteriaceae
Description: tRNA-Lys
Source: RNAcentral